GCAGUCUGUGAAUGAGUCCAAACUAGAGUCAUACAUAUAAUACUUACAAUGUGAUUCUGAUAGGUAUCUCUCCCUCUGAUGAACCCAGGAAAGACUUUUACACUGUUCUUUCCAGCAUGGUAACCAUUACUAAACAUAAUGUGUAACAGAAAAGUAAUACUUUUUCUUGUUUUAAAAAUUGAAAGAGUUGGAAAAAACAAUCUCUUGGUAUUUACAGAUUAUACUCAAUUAGGAGCAGUAGAACUAAUGGGAGGAGCUAAACAGACUUUUUUGGUUGCUGUUCUUUUUUGUUGCUGUUUUUAUUGUUAACUGCAAGAAAUUGUGUAGAUGUCUGCCUGUGACUCAGUCCCCUGGCUAAUGCCAGUCUCAUGGAUCUGCACAUAGUCUUCUGUCGACACUGUCCCCUUCCCAGUGGCAGAUGUGUGGCUAAUUUCUAUCGGAGGGCUACAACUUUUACUGAUGCCAUCAUACCCAAACUCUCUAACCUGCUAUCAGAAGGCAAAAUGUGCCUGUGGAGCCUUUUGGUCUUCCCUGGGGAACUGAAGACAGGGGAAGAUCUGGGCACAUCCUCUGAGUAAACCACAGCUGAAGAGGUUUUCAAACUGUUCAUGCUUCAGAACACUGGAAGACUCCAGUAGGAAUAACUAUAAACCUACUCAUUACAGUCUGCAGAUCUCCUAGUGUGGGUGAGUGAAUAAGCAUCUGAAAACAACUGUGCUUUAUUCUUUUUCUUACACAUCUGCCAUG
Molecule: long non-coding RNA, 747 nt
Filed under: Coturnix japonica (Japanese quail)
Lineage: Eukaryota; Metazoa; Chordata; Aves; Galliformes; Phasianidae
Description: lncRNA (ENSCJPG00005017966.1)
Source: RNAcentral